UCCAAGUGAUAAGCAUUAUAGAUUGAUUUCCUUUUUAAAGAGAGUCACAUAUUUCUAAUUUCAUUUUUUUAUUUCUGGAAGAAGUUACCUGUGUCUUUAUUCCCACAAUAUGUUGUGUAUUUAUACACUAAGACAUCCACAGGGAUGUUUCUUACAGCAAUGUUUGAAGUAACGGGAAAAAAAAAGUAACUUACAUGACCCUAGCACUAGAGUCUCCAGUCAAAUCAAGUCUAUGGCCUGUAAGCUAAGAACGGUUUUACAGGUGUGCAGUGAAGGACUUAGCAAGUCUGGCUUACUCAAACCCUGCACAUUCCAAAGAUAAGUCUGCCCCUUGACCAAGUCCCUGGGAGAUAACCUUUAAGCCCUUGGAAUAUCCUGCCUUCUGUGAGGGCCUGUGUCUACCUGGGGCCUUGAGCCAUGUCAGAAGGAUUAUGCUAACAGUGAUUUCUGGUGGGGGCGCUGCAGUGCACAGGAUCCGUUUGAUCUCUGGAGGAGCUGGAAACUGAAUAACUAAGGUCAGCCAUGUGGAUGCUCCAUGCCUGUGAGACCUGACCCUCACUGAAAGCCCUGGGCAUGAAGUCGCAGAAAAGAUUUGAAGCUCGGAGAAGCCACAUUUUCCCCAAGAUGAAAGAACUAGCAAGAACAAGGGCUGCAGCUGUCUAGCGAAUACAGGAGUGACCAGGUCCCCUGCCAGGGAGAACAAGAAAGGCCCAUGUGGACUUUGCUGCCUCCCACGCAACUGAGGGUGAUCAUGCAACCUGAUCCUGACCAAUGAGACUUGAGAACACAUUUGCUGAAGAAUAUCGAGAAAAGCUGCCUCCAAAUUAAAGAAGGGCCCUCUUUCCCACUCACUCUCUUUCUUUUCUUCCUGUCUUGAACACAGUUAUGUGAAGACACAACGGCCAGAGCCGUGAAAAGCCAUUUUACAAAUAUGAGGCAACAAGCAACUUCUCUACUCUCCUCCAAACAGAACCAAAGAUUGGAGCCAGGAGUGUGAGAUGCUUAAAGCUCUCUCCUAAACCUAGCACAGAGAGGUCAAGUAACUUGCCCAACAUCACACAGCUAGUAUGAUGUAGAGCCAGGGCUUGAACCCAAGUAUUUUAUCCCCAAAUGGCUGCUUUUAUUUUUUCCACUGAAUCCUUUUCCUUGCCUACAGUCCUCCUCUCAGCCCUUUUCUCUUCCUACACUCCUCCUAGGCAGUCGUACCCAGGACCAAGCUGUCAACCAUCACUUCUAGGAGAGAAUUCAAAAUCUACAUUUUUAGUCCCGGGCUCUCUAAUAAGAGCCAAUCCCUCACCCUCAAAUUUCUGCUAGAGGGUCCAAUCAACGGUCUUAUUUCAAGUUCCUUGUGCCUACAACUGAGCACAUUUCACCCUCCAGUGCCCUCCAACUACGUGUCCUUUCCUCGACUUAGUUCAUCUUAGGUAAUGAAAGCUCAGUCCUCCCAGUCACCACGACGUGUUGAGGACAGAACAUGGGUUUUGAAAUCCAGCAGACUUGGGUUGGAAUUGACCAGCCUUCAGUUGCAGAAUCCUUGGGAGGGCUAAAGAAAUAGAUCUGGCAUGAGCUUCUAGGAGCAAUAACCAAAGCCGCACUGCCAACCUGAGCCGCCAAGGGAGCUGGCAGCUCCAGAGCCUCAGUUGCCACUGUCCUGGUCGAGGGGGAAACCAGCAUAAUCAGGAAGCAGCCACUGCAGCUCCAGCCCCACAACCUGCCUGCUGCAAUUCACUCUGCAGAAUAGGAGCCCUUCUCCUUAUCUCAUCCUGAACCUAUAUCCUCUUUCCAUCAAAUCAGUGGUGCUCUGCAGCAGCCAAUUCCACUGUCUUUCUAGUUACCAUUUUCAUCAUGCCUCUCUAGUGCCAGAAAUAUUAUACCAGGAGUAUGCCCCCUGUCACCGGUAUCCCAUCCCAAUUCACGGCCAAUGUCAGUUUUCCCAACUUUUCCCUCCACCUGUUCCUGCCGUCGUUACUUCCUUCCUUACAAACUUUCAACAUGCAACUCCCCAUCUCAGAGUCUGUCUGCAGGGAUCUCAGUCUGAGGCAGUUGGUACUGGAAGUGGUCCUGGGAAGCCGACUCUGAAAUGGGAUUUCACUCAGCCAUUAAAAAAAAAAAAUGAAAUAAUGCCAUUUGCAGAAACAUAAAUGGACCUAGAGAUUAUCAUACUAAAUAAAGUAAACCAGACAAAGACAAAUAUCAUAAGAUAUCACCUAUAUGUGGAAUCAAAAAAAUGACACAAAGGAACUUAUUUACAGAACAGAAACAGACUCACAGACAUAGAAAACAAACUUAUGGUUACCAAAGGGGAAAGGGGGGUGGGGUGGAGGGGAGGGAUAAACUAGGAGUUUGGGAUUAGCAGAUACAAACUACUAUAUGUGAAAUGAACAACAAGGACCUAUUGUAUAGCAGAUGGAACUGUAUUCAAUAUCUUGUAAUAAACUAUAAUGGAAAAGAGUCUGAAAAAAUACAUACAUAACUGAAUCACUUUGCUGUACACCAGAAACUAACACAUUUUAAAUCAACUGGACAUCAAUUAAAAAUAAAGUAAAAUAAAAUGGGAUUUUAGAGAUGGACCACUUACUGGCCAGCUGGCAGUGAGGACCCCUUCACUGGUGGUAGGGGGAGGCUGACAGCCCUUGACAUGUUGUGGUGGAGUUGUAGUUUGAGGGAGUGCAUAAUUGAAAUAGCGAGAAAGCGGUGGUUCUGGAGUUUGAAACUCGGUCCCUGUGACUCUGAAGCCUGUGUUUCUUUUUUUUUUCUUUUUUUAAUGACAAAUUAUAUUCCAAAGUGGCUCUAGUAGUACCAGAGACAUUGAUGUAGAGUGUAAAGAUUGUUUCAGGUAAAGUGAAAAUGGAUAAAAGCGAUAUUUCUAGUUAAUAUAUUUUUAGAUAAUGUGAUUUUAAAUAUGAGUUAAAAUGUAAUAAAUAUUAAAGAACUUAUUUACAAAACAGAAACAGACUCACAGACAUAGAAAACAAACCUACGGUUACCAAAGGGGAAAGGAGAGGGGGAUAAACAACAAGGUCCUACUGUAUAGCACAGGGCACUAUAUACUCAGUAUCUUGUAAUAAACUAAUGGAAAAGAAACAAUGUAAUAAAUAUUAAAAAUAGAUGUUUUACUAUUUUAUCUAUUUUGAAAGGUUUAUAUAUUCAGAAUUACAGGGGAGAUUUUUGGUUUUGUUUUUUUAAGGAGAAUCACUUUAUUUUGAGUAGUAUACAAAACUCCAUUUAUAACAUAAUAAAAAAAUCUUCCAUCAGUUUCUUCACAGUUAGUCCAAAGAAUAAAACCUCUGACUUAGAGUUUACAUUUAACCUUAAAUAUUCUGAAAUCCAUCCGUGUCAACUUUGGAAUUCUAAUCUUGCCUGAUACUAUGAAAUAGGGCAAACCUUGAUCAAUGGGCAAAUUCCUAAUUUUUGCCGUUCAGCCACUUUUCUGGAUCUUGCUCUCUGAUUCUGUACAUUCCAGAGUGUUCAAUGGAUUUGUAAUGAACUUCCAAGAUGAAGGGGAAUUUCUUGCCCAUUGUUUGCCUGAAACCUUGGCUUGUGUUCAUCUUUUUAAAGAAAAAAUAUGCUCCAAAAACACCCACAAGUUCAGCUUAUAAAACUCCUUUAAAGAUCUUCUUCUUCUUCUUUUUUUUUUACUUCUAUGAAGUAUUUUUUAACAUAUUUAUUGGAGUAUAAUUGCUCUACAAUGGUGCAUUAGCUUCUGCUGUAUAACAAAGUGAAUCAGCUAUACAUAUACAUAUAUCCCCAUAUCUCUUCCCUCUUGCAUCUCCCUCCCACUCUCCCUAUCCCACCCCUCUAGGUGGUCACAAAGCACCGAGCUGAUCUCCCUGUGCUAUGUGGCUGCUUCCCACCAGGCAUCCAUUCUACAUUUGAUGGUGUAUAUAUGUCCUUGCCACUCUCUCACCUCGUCCCAGCCCACUCCUCCCCCUCCCCGUGUCCUCAAGUCCAUUCUCUACGUCUGCACCUUUAUUCCUGUCCUGCCCCUAGGUUCUUCAGAACCUUUUUUUUUUUUAGAUUCCAUAUACAUGUGUUAGCAUCCGGUAUUUGUUUUUCUCUUUCUGACUUACUUCACUCUGUAUGACAGUCUCUAGGUCCAUCCACCUCACUACAAAUAACUCAAUUUCGUUUCUUUUUAUGGCUGAGUAAUACUCCAUUGUAUACACGUGCCACAUCUUCUGUAUCCAUUCGUCUGCUGAUGGACACUUAGGUUGCUUCCAUGUCCUGGCUAUCGUAAAUAGUGUUUUGGUGCUCAGGCCGGGUGUCAGGCCUGAGCCUCUGAGGUGAGAGAGCCGAGUUCAGGACAUUGGUCCACCAGAGACCUCCCAGCUCCACGUAAUAUCAAACGGCGAAAGCUCUCCCAGAGAGCUCCAUCUCAGUGAUAAGACCCAGCUCCACUCAACGACCAGCAAGCUCCAGUGCUGGACACCUUAUGCCAAACAACUAGCAAGACAGGAACACAACCCCACCCAUUAGCAGAGAGGCUGUGUUUCUAUUUCAGUGUUAAACAUCAACUAUGUGACCUUGGCUGAAUCACCUAACCCCUUUUCUAGCUCUGAAAUUCUACAGCUCUACCUUGAGGGAAGGUAUUACGCAAUGAGCUAUAAGGCACCAUCCAGUAAUGUCUAACUAGUGCCAAGGAUCUGGUUCUCUCUGUUUCCAGUAUUUGUUUACAGGGAGGAUAAGCACAGUUCUGCUCUGCCGUCAUCAUGCUGUUUAGGUUCCCUAUGUCUCACCCUCUGCCCAUGAGAGAUAAUGGACGAUUUGUCCUGAAGCAUGUAGUUCAUUUAACAGCGCAAAUCCUCUUCCUCCUUUACCCUGCUUCCCCCAGUUACCACAUUGUUCUGUGCUUCAUUAGAAAACACAUCCUUCUUUCCACGACAGUGACCCCAAGUAUUUCAUCAAUUCACUUGUGUCACUGAAAGCCAAGUGUUUAUUCAGGCUGGCUACAAACAAAGGCUACUCCGUGAGGCUGUGACUGCAGUCCAGCUGACCAGAUUACCUUUCACAAGAUGCGUUGUUUUUUAUUUGUAACAUGGCAGUAUCUUUCGUAGACAUGUUACGUCGGUGGCACAUAAUUGCACCAACCUAACAAAUAGUCUGCGGUCACCUUUAUCUGUAUUUACUCCUAGUUUUGUCCAUCUUUUGUUACUGUAUUUACUGAGUUGUACUAUUGUGUAGUUAUAAUUUUAUAUUUUCUUUAUUUGACCUACUUCAAAGGUUUUUCCAUUCUUUUAACCUGGACUUCACUGUUUUAACUGUCGCUUUAUAUUAGCAAGAAUUUAUUGGUUCACUCAACAAACGUUUACGUAAUAACUACUUAAGUAUUCCUUUGUGGAUUUCUCCCAGUUUUUAUUAUUGUUAAUGUGAUAAAUGUCAUUGUGUACAUACCUCUCUUGAUCUUCUGGUUUAUUUUCUUAGGAUAAAUUCCCCAAAGUGGGAUCAUUAGGAUGAACAUUUUUAGAGCUCUUAAAGCUAACGGCCGACCACGUGUGACUGUAUCAUUGACUCUAUUUUUUCAUGCUCCCAGUCAUUCAGGAGAUAAAAUCCCUACUUUUUUGUAAAUGCGGGACCCCCUCCACCCCACCCCCAAACUGGCUUUUGCCUGUCUCUCUCUCUCAUUUCUCAACACUCCUCAAUUUUUCAUUUCCCUCGCUUCCAUCCAUACAAAGUGUACAUAGAUUUUUACGUGCAGGAUACCUUGUUUUGAACAUAUUCCUGCUACCAUAGGUGCUGUACUGCAACAGAAUGCUGGACAAAUAGUCAUUU
Kogia breviceps (pygmy sperm whale) is the source of this 5769-nucleotide non-coding RNA. Lineage: Eukaryota; Metazoa; Chordata; Mammalia; Artiodactyla; Physeteridae. The record is from RefSeq and is a predicted model, not a curated record.